This 65-nucleotide transfer RNA is filed under the name Tomocerus qinae. Its description in RNAcentral is "tRNA-Ile". The record is from RNAcentral. Lineage: Eukaryota; Metazoa; Arthropoda; Collembola; Entomobryomorpha; Tomoceridae.
AGUAAAAUGCCUGACUAAAGGGCUAUUUUGAUAGAAUAGAUAAUGUAUAAUCAAUACUUUUACUU